Molecule: ribosomal RNA, 253 nt
Filed under: uncultured bacterium
Lineage: Bacteria
Description: partial 16S ribosomal RNA
Rfam family: Bacterial small subunit ribosomal RNA
Source: RNAcentral
UACGGAGGGUGCAAGCGUUACUCGGAAUCACUGGGCGUAAAGGGCGCGCAGGCGGCCUAGCAAGUCUGGUGCGAAAGCCCAGGGCUCAACCCUGGAAGGGCACUGGAAACUGUUAGGCUUGAGUUCCGGAGAGGAGGGGGGAAUUCCCGGUGGAGCGGUGAAAUGCGUAGAUAUCGGGAGGAAUACAGGUGGCGAAGGCGCCCCUCUGGACGGAAACUGAUGCUGAGGCGCGAAAGCGUGGGGAGCAAACAGG